GUUGUUGCAUUUAUUUAUUGAGUUAUUCUUGGGUUCACCUCCUACCAACCAAUAAGAAGUAGUUAUUAUAUAUUCAUUAUCUUUUAAAAAAGAAAAUAAAAUAUUAUUAAUGUAUAUCAUGAUUUUAAAAUUAAAAACAAGUAAAAAUAAAUAAAAAAUAGUACUAAUCGCAAAAAAAAAAGAAUUUUUAAAAAUAUUUUUAACCCAUCAGUAAAACACUAAACCCUAAA
This 230-nucleotide long non-coding RNA is filed under the name Brassica rapa (field mustard). RNAcentral describes it as "long non-coding RNA (BRAP_LNC001936)". The record is from RNAcentral. Lineage: Eukaryota; Viridiplantae; Streptophyta; Magnoliopsida; Brassicales; Brassicaceae.